This 87-nucleotide transfer RNA is filed under the name Magnetococcales bacterium. Its description in RNAcentral is "tRNA-Leu". It matches the Rfam family "tRNA". From Rfam's summary of the family: Transfer RNA (tRNA) molecules are approximately 80 nucleotides in length. Their secondary structure includes four short double-helical elements and three loops (D, anti-codon, and T loops). The record is from RNAcentral. Lineage: Bacteria; Pseudomonadati; Pseudomonadota; Magnetococcia; Magnetococcales.
GCCGAGGUGGCGGAACUGGUAGACGCACCAGACUCAAAAUCUGGCGAUAGUGAUAUCGUGUCGGUUCGAUUCCGACUCUCGGCACCA